RNAcentral lists this ribosomal RNA (188 nucleotides) under uncultured bacterium. RNAcentral describes it as "partial 16S ribosomal RNA". It matches the Rfam family "Bacterial small subunit ribosomal RNA", at positions 346 to 525 of the family's 1533-position model. The record is from RNAcentral.
AGGCAGCAGUGGGGAAUUUUGGACAAUGGACGCAAGUCUGAUCCAGCCAUUCCGCGUGCAGGACGAAGGCCUUCGGGUUGUAAACUGCUUUUGUACAGAACGAAAAGGUCUCUAUUAAUACUAGGGGCUCAUGACGGUACUGUAAGAAUAAGACACCGGCUAACUACGUGCCAGCAGCCGCGGUAAUA